CCUACGGGGUGCAGCAGUGGGGAAUAUUGCACAAUGGGGGAAACCCUGAUGCAGCGACGCCGCGUGAGUGAAGAAGUAUUUCGGUACGUAAAGCUCUAUCAGCAGGGAAGAAAAAAAGUCCUUUUGACUUUGGACGGUACCUGACCAAGAAGCACCGGCUAACUACGUGCCAGCAGCCGCGGUAAUACGUAGGGGGCACGCGUUAUCCGGAUUUACUGGGGGUAAAGGGAGCGUAGACGGGAGGGCAAGUCUGGAGUGAAAUGCCGGGGCCCAACCCCGGAACUGCAUUGGAAACUGGGAGGCUGGAGUGCAGGAGAGGUAGGCGGAAUUCCUAGUGUAGCGGUGAAAUGCGUAGAUAUUAGGAGGAACACCAGUGGCGAAGGCGGCUUACUGGACUGUAACUGACGUUGAGGCUCGAAAGCGUGGGGAGCAAACAGGAUUAGAUACCCUUGUAGUC
RNAcentral lists this ribosomal RNA (457 nucleotides) under uncultured bacterium. RNAcentral's name for it is "partial 16S ribosomal RNA". It matches the Rfam family "Bacterial small subunit ribosomal RNA", at positions 338 to 795 of the family's 1533-position model. The record is from RNAcentral.